Molecule: ribosomal RNA, 253 nt
Filed under: uncultured bacterium
Lineage: Bacteria
Description: partial 16S ribosomal RNA
Rfam family: Bacterial small subunit ribosomal RNA
Source: RNAcentral
UACAGAGGUCCCAAGCGUUGUUCGGAUUCACUGGGCGUAAAGGGUGCGUAGGUGGUUGGGUAAGUCUGAUGUGAAAUCUCCGGGCUCAACCCGGAAAUGGCAUUGGAUACUAUCCAGCUGGAGGGUCGGAGGGGGGACUGGAAUUCUUGGUGUAGCAGUGAAAUGCGUAGAUAUCGGGAGGAACACCAGUGGCGAAGGCGACUUCCUGGCCUGUUCUUGACGCUGAGGCGCGAAAGCUAGGGGAGCAAACGGG